UACAGGACUUGAAAAUUAUUUAUAAAAAAUAUUAUUUGAUCUUGGUUGGGUCAAUUAUAAAGUUAAUGUGUUCAUCGAGACAAGUAAAUGUCAAAACAUUAAAAUAAUCUGACUUUAAGAAUUAGAUCGGUUAAUUAAGAACAAACUGAUAUUAAUAAAUCAAAUGUAUGUGAUAGAGGUUUUAAGAAAUAUCUCUGUCCGAUGUCGUCAUGGGU
This 215-nucleotide long non-coding RNA is filed under the name Elaeis guineensis (African oil palm). RNAcentral describes it as "long non-coding RNA (EGUI_LNC018211)". The record is from RNAcentral. Lineage: Eukaryota; Viridiplantae; Streptophyta; Magnoliopsida; Arecales; Arecaceae.